RNAcentral lists this transfer RNA (76 nucleotides) under Deltaproteobacteria bacterium. Its description in RNAcentral is "tRNA-Trp". It matches the Rfam family "tRNA". From Rfam's summary of the family: Transfer RNA (tRNA) molecules are approximately 80 nucleotides in length. Lineage: Bacteria; Pseudomonadati; Myxococcota; Myxococcia. The record is from RNAcentral.
AGGUCCUUAGCUCAGUUGGUAGAGCACCGGUCUCCAAAACCGGGGGUCGAAGGUUCGAGCCCUUCAGGGCCUGCCA